This 523-nucleotide long non-coding RNA is filed under the name Lotus japonicus. Its description in RNAcentral is "long non-coding RNA (LJAP_LNC000782)". The record is from RNAcentral. Lineage: Eukaryota; Viridiplantae; Streptophyta; Magnoliopsida; Fabales; Fabaceae.
CUUCUUCUUCAUCACUUCUUCUCUUCAUACCCAGGAAACCAACUUCUCCUCUGCAAAUCAAAAUUCGAAAUUUCUGUGUUUGGCUUCCAUCUCCUUUCACCAACAUCAAAGUUUGUAUUUUUACCCAGAUCCACACCCUCAGUAAUAACAUUUCCAGACCUUCGAACCAUUUGGACAGAUCAUAAAAUUUGUAAACAGAGAAAAAGAAGAACCUUCCUCCAUCAAGAUCUGACACCGACCCAUGAAGGUUCUUGGAAGCAAAAGCACCGACAGAAAAUCAAGUCUGAUAAAAAUAAAAACCAGUAGAUCUAGAUCUGAACAUUGCUAACCUGCCAGAUCUACCCGCAAAACAACAGGUGUGAAAACAUAUGCUCAAUACAUUAAAUAUCAAUGGUCAAGUUACAAUUUUUUGCAAACUCAAAGAGGUUGCAGAUGUAAAAAUGGGACCGUAAAUUCUUAUCUUGAAGUGACCCAGAUAAUUCUUCUGCUUGCAAUCUCUUUCUCACCAGCACCUGAACUUGAA